Long non-coding RNA from Myotis myotis, 1349 nucleotides. RefSeq lists it as uncharacterized. Lineage: Eukaryota; Metazoa; Chordata; Mammalia; Chiroptera; Vespertilionidae. The record is from RefSeq and is a predicted model, not a curated record. The transcript is spliced from 3 exons.
AUUUGCUGAUAGAGGGGGGCAGGGUAGGUGGUUAGCUCUCCGUAAAGCAGGUACUUCCCUCUCCCUGCAGCCCGCGCCUUUCAGACCACCACUGACAAGGUGUUGAUAUGUGGAAGUAGUUACCUCAGGUCGACUGUUCCUGCAGCCAGGCUGGGAGCAGUCACUUCAAUGGAAAGCUCUGCGGUCCCUGCCAGCUUCUCUGGUCCACAGAUGUCUCAGGAUGCAGCCCCCUUCCGUGGUUGCAACGUUGGGAUUCGCAAAUGAUCAGCGCACCAGAGUUGUUACUGCCCUUGAGGUGGACCUCAACCAAAGAUCAAAGUGGACCACGGAUACAACAGAAAACGGACACUAAGUUGCAAAGUCCCAAAGUGGCCUGACCCGGUGUUCGGGAAGAAUUCUUCUGGCCCUGGAGAAAUAAGCAACUUCUCUCUCGUCCAACAUCUGACUCCAUAACUGAAGUUGUUGUGAAUGCAGUGUUUCAAAAUUAAGGCAGCUCCAGCGCUUGCGGUUCAUGCAUCUUCUCAUAUACGUUCAGAAAACGCUGUUGCAUUCAGUGUCUCCGUCCCUUUGGAAGUUUGGUGGUUUGCCAGUUUCAAGACUCAUGUUUCAAAUCCUCUCUUCUGUUCUCCUCUCCUCUCUUGCUCUAUAACCUGCUCUCCAGGAACUCCACUUCAUUUUUCAUUCCAGCUACAGUCUUACCCCUAUUAUUACUAUUUCUGGCAAAAAGGAGACAUGGUCACAGUUAUUGGUCUCCAGACAUUACUGGCUUUAGAAAGCAAACAUACUCUGAUAGGAGAAAAAUUAAAAGCUAACUUUCUAUUGCCACAGUGACAGGUAUAAUCAGAGCAAUAGGAACAGUCACAAUAUUGACAAAUGCGCCCAUCUGAGCAUCUUACUGGUUCUCAUGUACACACAUUCACAAGCACACCCAUGAAUGCACACACACACACACACACACACACACACACACACACACACAGCAUAUGAUUAUAUAUCUUCCUAACAGAACAACAAAAAUGGAAAUGGUGCUCUUCAAAGGGCUUGUUUUCUUCUGGAUAAAAUUUUGCAAGAUUGCUAGCAAGAAAGGCUGCACAUGAGCCACAAAGACACAGAAAAUUCCACUUGCUCCAUGAAUUUGCUGACUGAUUUCAUACUGUUGAAUCCCACCCAUUAACACAUGCACUUAGAUUCCAACAAUGACUGACAGACGUUGGGAAGGCAAAAGUAAAAGCUGACCUGCAGACAGUUCAAAUUUGCCAUAUGCUUGCUGUCACUGUUCGCAGUUUGUAGACCAUCCUAAUGUAUGCUUCAGCUGGCUGACCUGAUAUACUUAAAGAACAGGGGGAUGA